Molecule: ribosomal RNA, 890 nt
Filed under: Dialister sp. UBA6422
Lineage: Bacteria; Bacillati; Bacillota; Negativicutes; Veillonellales; Veillonellaceae
Description: bacterial SSU rRNA
Rfam family: Bacterial small subunit ribosomal RNA
Source: RNAcentral
AGAGUUUGAUCCUGGCUCAGGACGAACGCUGGCGGCGUGCUUAACACAUGCAAGUCGAACGAGAGGAAGAGAGAAGCUUGCUUCUUUCUGAAUCGAGUGGCAAACGGGUGAGUAACACGUAAACAACCUGCCUUCAGGAUGGGGACAACAGACGGAAACGACUGCUAAUACCGAAUACGUUCUUUGAGUCGCAUGACUUAAGGAAGAAAGGGUGGCCUCUACUUGUAAGCUAUCGCCUGAAGAGGGGUUUGCGUCUGAUUAGGUAGUUGGUGAGGUAACGGCCCACCAAGCCGACGAUCAGUAGCCGGUCUGAGAGGAUGAACGGCCACACUGGAACUGAGACACGGUCCAGACUCCUACGGGAGGCAGCAGUGGGGAAUCUUCCGCAAUGGGCGAAAGCCUGACGGAGCAACGCCGCGUGAGUGAUGACGGCCUUCGGGUUGUAAAGCUCUGUGAUCGGGGACGAACGGUCGAUGGGAUAAUACUCCAUUGAAGUGACGGUACCCGAAUAGCAAGCCACGGCUAACUACGUGCCAGCAGCCGCGGUAAUACGUAGGUGGCAAGCGUUGUCCGGAAUUAUUGGGCGUAAAGCGCGCGCAGGCGGUUUACUAAGUCCAUCUUAAAAGUGCGGGGCUUAACCCCGUGAUGGGAUGGAAACUGGUAGACUGGAGUAUCGGAGAGGAAAGUGGAAUUCCUAGUGUAGCGGUGAAAUGCGUAGAGAUUAGGAAGAACACCGGUGGCGAAGGCGACUUUCUGGACGACAACUGACGCUGAGGCGCGAAAGCGUGGGGAGCAAACAGGAUUAGAUACCCUGGUAGUCCAUACCGUAAACGAUGAUUACUAGGUGUUGGAGGAUUGACCCCUUCAGUGCCGCAGUUAACACAAUAAGU